GAUGAACGCUAGCGGCAGGCUUAACACAUGCAAGUCGAGGGGUAACAGGAGUGCUUGCACUCGCUGACGACCGGCGCACGGGUGCGUAACGCGUAUAGAAUCUACCUUGUAGUAAGGGAUAGCCCAGAGAAAUUUGGAUUAAUACCUUAUAGUAUCUUAAGUGAGCAUUCACUAAGGAUUAAAGAUUUACUGCUAUAAGAUGACUAUGCGUUCUAUUAGCUAGUUGGUAUGGUAACGGCAUACCAAGGCUACGAUAGAUAGGGGUCCUGAGAGGGAGAUCCCCCACACUGGUACUGAGACACGGACCAGACUCCUACGGGAGGCAGCAGUGAGGAAUAUUGGACAAUGGAGGCAACUCUGAUCCAGCCAUGCCGCGUGUAGGAAGACUGCCCUAUGGGUUGUAAACUACUUUUAUAGAGGAAGAAACAAUAUUACGUGUAAUAUUCUGACGGUACUCUACGAAUAAGGAUCGGCUAACUCCGUGCCAGCAGCCGCGGUAAUACGGAGGAUCCAAGCGUUAUCCGGAAUCAUUGGGUUUAAAGGGUCCGUAGCGGGUUUGUAAGUCAGUGGUGAAAGUUUU
RNAcentral lists this ribosomal RNA (580 nucleotides) under uncultured bacterium. RNAcentral describes it as "bacterial SSU rRNA". It matches the Rfam family "Bacterial small subunit ribosomal RNA", at positions 28 to 604 of the family's 1533-position model. The record is from RNAcentral.